UCUGUUCAUAAUAAACAUAAAUAGUAGGUAAGAGUGAUCUUAACAUGUAUAGUAGGGUAAAACAAUACAGGUCCCCAAUACUGGUGUACAGUAGGGUAAAACAAUACAGGUCCCCAAUACUGGUGUACAGUAAAACAAUACAGGUCCCCAAUACUGUGUACAGUAGGGUAAAACAAUACAGGCCCCCAAUACUGGUGUACAGUAAAACAAUACAGGUCUCCAAUACUGGUGU
Long non-coding RNA from Pecten maximus, 232 nucleotides. RefSeq lists it as uncharacterized. The transcript is spliced from 2 exons. The record is from RefSeq and is a predicted model, not a curated record. NCBI's taxonomy places the organism in Eukaryota, Metazoa, Mollusca, Bivalvia, Pectinida, Pectinidae.